RNAcentral lists this ribosomal RNA (253 nucleotides) under uncultured bacterium. RNAcentral describes it as "partial 16S ribosomal RNA". It matches the Rfam family "Bacterial small subunit ribosomal RNA", at positions 524 to 776 of the family's 1533-position model. The record is from RNAcentral.
UACAGAGGGUGCAAGCGUUAAUCGGAAUUACUGGGCGUAAAGCGUGCGCAGGCGGUUGUGCAAGACCGAUGUGAAAUCCCCGGGCUUAACCUGGGAAUGGCAUUGGUGACUGUACGGCUAGAGUGUGUCAGAGGGGGGUAGAAUUCCACGUGUAGCAGUGAAAUGCGUAGAGAUGUGGAGGAAUACCGAUGGCGAAGGCAGCCCCCUGGGAUAACACUGACGCUCAUGCACGAAAGCGUGGGGAGCAAACAGG